GUGGGAGUGUCUGAGUGUAUUGUACGGAUUGAUUGGUUGUUCUGCAAAACCCUGUGGGCAGUACUAUGUGUGUAAAAUGUGCAUAAAAGCAGAGUGUUUGAUUAAAAGUUUCAGUUCUACUUCACCUUCAAUUUGGAGUCUCGUCUCUUAUUGGGGGAUCUGCUACAAGGGAUUGCUAUGCUCUGCAUAUUCCCUUGCUAUAAUCACUCCUAAGCUCUUGUAAGAGCUUGUUCCUGCUUCACUCUGAUUGAAGAGAGGUUC
This is a non-coding RNA of Pelobates cultripes (western spadefoot toad), 261 nucleotides long. NCBI's taxonomy places the organism in Eukaryota, Metazoa, Chordata, Amphibia, Anura, Pelobatidae. The record is from the annotation of a GenBank genome assembly.